Molecule: unclassified non-coding RNA, 299 nt
Filed under: plant metagenome
Description: partial contains 5.8S ribosomal RNA, internal transcribed spacer 2, and large subunit ribosomal RNA
Rfam family: 5.8S ribosomal RNA (bases 1-105)
Source: RNAcentral
GAAAUGCGAUAAGUAAUGUGAAUUGCAGAAUUCAGUGAAUCAUCGAAUCUUUGAACGCACAUUGCGCCCCCUGGUAUUCCGGGGGGCAUGCCUGUUCGAGCGUCAUUUCACCACUCAAGCCUCGCUUGGUAUUGGGCGACGCGGUCCGCCGCGCGCCUCAAAUCGACCGGCUGGGUCUUCCGUCCCCUCAGCGUUGUGGAAACUAUUCGCUAAAGGGUGCCGCGGGAAGUCACGCCGCAAAACAACCCCAUUUCUAAGGUUGACCUCGGAUCAGGUAGGGAUACCCGCUGAACUUAAGC